AAGAUUCAGUGUAAUUGGUCCCAAGAAAAGCCAUACUAUCGAGCUUGGAUAUCACUGGAACCAUUUUAUUAAUAGAUUUCUUGGUCAUUUUCCAAUAAAUGUCCCAAAAGAAUAGGCAGAGGCAAUAAUGCAGUAAGAAGAAAGACCACAGAAAUAAUUCAAGCCAAAAAAAUGACUCAAGUUCUCAUGGCCCAAAACCAGCCCAAUAAAUC
This 212-nucleotide long non-coding RNA is filed under the name Olea europaea (common olive). Its description in RNAcentral is "long non-coding RNA (OEUR_LNC010781)". The record is from RNAcentral. Lineage: Eukaryota; Viridiplantae; Streptophyta; Magnoliopsida; Lamiales; Oleaceae.